UACGGAAGGCAGCAGUGGGGAAUAUUGCACAAUGGGCGCAAGCCUGAUGCAGCCAUGCCGCGUGUAUGAAGAAGGCCUUCGGGUUGUAAAGUACUUUCAGUCGUGAGGAAGGUGUUAAGGUUAAUAACCUUAGCAAUUGACGUUAGCGACAGAAGAAGCACCGGCUAACUCCGUGCCAGCAGCCGCGGUAAUACGGAGGGUGCGAGCGUUAAUCGGAAUUACUGGGCGUAAAGGGCACGCAGGCGGUUAAUUAAGUUGGAUGUGAAAUCCCCGGGCUUAACCUGGGAAUGGCAUUCAAGACUGGUUAGCUAGAGUCUUGUAGAGGGGGUAGAAUUCCGAUGUGUAGCGGUGAAAUGCGUAGAGAUGUGGAGGAAUACCGGUGGCGAAGGCGGCCCCUGGACAAAGACUGACGCUCAUGUGCGAAAGCGUGGGGAGCAAACAGGGAUUAGAUACC
RNAcentral lists this ribosomal RNA (454 nucleotides) under uncultured bacterium. RNAcentral describes it as "bacterial SSU rRNA". It matches the Rfam family "Bacterial small subunit ribosomal RNA", at positions 340 to 786 of the family's 1533-position model. The record is from RNAcentral.